AAAGGCUUGGUCCUAACUUUGCUGUCGCCUGAAGCUAGACUUACACAUGCAAGUAUCCGCGCUCCCGUGAGGAUGCCCUUAACCCUCUUAUGAGACCAAGGGGCGGGUAUCAGGCACACUACUGUAGCCCACGACACCUUGCUUAGCCACACCCCCAAGGGAGUUCAGCAGUGAUGAACAUUAAGCCAUAAGUGCAAACUUGACUUAGUUAAAGCUAAGAGGGCCGGUAAAACUCGUGCCAGCCACCGCGGUUAUACGAGAGGCCCAAGAUGACAGAAUCCGGCGUAAAGAGUGGUUAGGACAUAAAGGAAUUAAAGCUAAAGCUCUUCAAGGCUGUUAUACGCAUCCGAAGGUACGAAGAACUACUACGAAAGUGGCUUUAAUAUUUCUGAGCCCACGAAAGCUACGAAACAAACUGGGAUUAGAUACCCCACUAUGCGUAGCCGUAAACCUUGAUAAUAACUUACCCCCACAUCCGCCCGGGUACUACAAGUACCAACUUGAAACCCAAAGGACUUGGCGGUGCUUUAGACCCCCCUAGAGGAGCCUGUUCUAGAACUGAUAAUCCCCGUUAAACCUCACCCUCCCUUGUCAUUCCCGCCUAUAUACCGCCGUCGUCAGCUUACCCUGUGAGGGUCUUAUCGUGAGCACAACUGGCACAGCCUUAAACGUCAGGUCGAGGUGUAGUAGAUGGGAGGGGAAGAAAUGGGCUACAUUCGUCUACUGACGAACAACGAAUGAUCUAUUGAAAACAUUUAUCUAAAGGAGGAUUUAGCAGUAAAAAGGAAAUAGAGUGUCCUUUUGAAACUGGCCCUGAAGCGCGCACACACCGCCCGUCACUCUCCCCUAAUUUAAACUUCCAAUAACUAAUACCUUAAUAUACUAAAGGGGAGGCAAGUCGUAACAUGGUAAGUGUACCGGAAGGUGCACUUGGAACA
Molecule: non-coding RNA, 938 nt
Filed under: Solegnathus spinosissimus (spiny pipehorse)
Lineage: Eukaryota; Metazoa; Chordata; Actinopteri; Syngnathiformes; Syngnathidae
Description: 12S ribosomal RNA
Rfam family: Bacterial small subunit ribosomal RNA
Source: RNAcentral